Molecule: ribosomal RNA, 497 nt
Filed under: uncultured bacterium
Lineage: Bacteria
Description: partial 16S ribosomal RNA
Rfam family: Bacterial small subunit ribosomal RNA
Source: RNAcentral
GAUGAACGCUGGCGGCGUGCCUAAUACAUGCAAGUCGAGCGAACGGACGAGAAGCUUGCUUCUCUGACGUUAGCGGCGGACGGGUGAGUAACACGUGGAUAACCUACCUAUAAGACUGGGAUAACUUCGGGAAACCGGAGCUAAUACCGGAUAAUAUAUUGAACCGCAUGGUUCAAUAGUGAAAGACGGUUUUGCUGUCACUUAUAGAUGGAUCCGCGCUGCAUUAGCUAGUUGGUAAGGUAACGGCUUACCAAGGCAACGAUGCGUAGCCGACCUGAGAGGGUGAUCGGCCACACUGGAACUGAGACACGGUCCAGACUCCUACGGGAGGCAGCAGUAGGGAAUCUUCCGCAAUGGGCGAAAGCCUGACGGAGCAACGCCGCGUGAGUGAUGAAGGUCUUCGGAUCGUAAAACUCUGUUAUUAGGGAAGAACAUAUGUGUAAGUAACUGUGCACAUCUUGACGGUACCUAAUCAGAAAGCCACGGCUAACUACGUG